Molecule: non-coding RNA, 4035 nt
Organism: Phalacrocorax carbo (great cormorant)
Lineage: Eukaryota; Metazoa; Chordata; Aves; Suliformes; Phalacrocoracidae
Source: RefSeq, a predicted model, not a curated record
AAUGAGGCAUUUAGGGCUGUUACCUUCAGAGUCAAUGGAGGAAGCAUAUUUAGCCUAAUGCACUUGCUGCCGAGCCAAUAGGUCUAUUGCAGGCAGAUCAGGAGUCAUGGAGAGACUCGCCUUUCAACACAAAAUUCACGACCCAUUAAACUUAUUCUGUGAUAACAGCUUCUCUGCAAACGGAGACCCGUGGAAAACAGAGGCUGUCAUGCACUUCCUGAAAGGAUUUACAUACAGAAGAGAAGUACAUUCGCGAGGUUAUUGCUAUUUCACUAGUAUUAUCUCCAAUCAAGGCAUAAAAGCAGCUCUUCUCUAGCUAACCGAGGUAAACGACUAAAGAAAAGCUUUUUGCAGCCUCCAGAUCUGAUUCGCCUCCCGGGUCUGAGUGGCAGCAUCUCCUUGGGCUGACAGGGAAGAGAGCUCAAACCAUUACAGAGUAUCCGAUCUGAUCAGAAAUUACGAGCAAGAUGUUAUGCUGGGCAUGCCAAUAUCUAACUGCUGAUGUGCACUCUUCGAGAUGACAGUCAAAGAGUGAUCACCAGAUGCUCAUAAGGUAGAAAGGUGUCUGCAGGUUAUUUUACCUACAAUGACAGGCAGGAGACCUGAACCAAUGUGGCAACAUGCUUAACAGGGCAGGGAGUGCCCAUCCAAGAGCAGAGAGGAAGGCCGAGCAAACAGAUUGCUUGAAAGCACGUGCAGAGAUCUGAGAACAUUCUCAAGUAUUUUCAGUUUCAUCUUCCUCAAUUAUUCUUUCAAUAGCACAUUAGGUAUUAAGGAUAAAAGAUAAGGUAAUCUAAUGACCUUUACGACGUAACAAAAAUGCGCUUCAAAAGUCCUACCGUGUUUAUAGAAGUAGUUGAUGGAAUGGAGACUUUUACUAUAGACCUGUUUUCUUCAAUUCCAUUUAUUACAGAAAUGGAAGGUGUGGUUGUCAAUUGAACCCUCUUAUUCUAAUAUGGAUUGAAAAAAUUAAGUCCUAGUAAUAAACUUAACUGCAGCAGUAUUUCCUCUUGGUGAGAAUUUUGCCAUUUCAGGAAGACAAAGGACUUAAGAAAAAAUAAAGUAACAAGUCACCUAGAAAAUGACAGACAGCAUCCUUUAGAUGACAGGUGGCUAUGCUUGUCUCUAAGUAUUAAGUCCAAUGAAAUGCUGGUGAUCCUCAGUUCCCAAAAGGCACUGUUGGGGAAACAGUAAAUGAACUGCUCUACAGCCUUUUCCAUUACACUGUAAAAUUAAGUUGCAUUUACCAUGUUGCUGGCCUCCCUGAGGUCCUGCAGUUUACAGGAAGAUGCUAGCAGUUGGCUAAGAAAAGAAGGAACUCUCAAUAAGUGUAAACCUCAUUCUGAUUUCUGAAAUUUAUGGAUGCAAGUCACACUUGCUAACAAUAUUUUUAAAAUAUAAAAUACUGUACUAGCUUACAGCUUCUAAUAUGAAUGCAAAUGAACUUGUAAUUAUACUGUGCAAUUUUCUACUUUUAAAAAAAAAUCUAUGAAACUAGAACAGACCUGAAGAGCAACACGAACUGCUGUUCUUCAUUGUGUUCCUUCAUUACGCAGAAGUUGCCAUAAGCAAUCUGUUGUGUUUUAAUGUAAAAUAUUUUUUAGGCCAUACCUUUGCAACUCAAAUUCUCACACGAGAACAUUUAUAAAGUCACAGUUCCUCCUCUCUAGUGAAAAACAUGACCAAGAUGCAAAGGAGCAAGAAAUUCGGUGUGAUGAUUAGCGUAGCCUUCCUUUGUAAGCUUAUUUAAACUCAACAUCCCUAUGUUCUGCUUUCUGAUGAUGUACUAUACCAUCACAGAUUAAGUGAUAAACCAUUAAAAGUUACAUAUCAAGAACUGUAAGCCAAAAAUGUUAUUUCUACUAAUCACUGACCAGCUGGAGGAGCUGAAGAUAGGAACCUAAAAAAGUAGUUCUCUAAACUAUUUUUCCCAUGUGUUGAAUAGUUAUCUCUGCAGCACCCAGUCCCUCAGUACUUGCUAAAAUAGCUGAAGGGGAACUAGUAUCAUCUUCUUAGUUCUUGACUACGUUUGAGCUAACAGGACAAUGAUCAUAAGCUAUUUAAGGGUUCUGGUACACAUUAGUUGAGAUAGGGAUGAAUUCAACAUUACAACCAAGAGCACUGCAUAAAUUUUUUAAAGAAUUGCUUCAAAAUAACAUUAAAAUAUCCACUACUGAUACCUGCACAGCUGGUUUUUAAGUAAUUUGUUAUACUACCCAAUUUACAAUAAGAACUGCAGCUGCUAGUAAACCACUGUAAGAAGUACCCCACAGAGCAAAAAAAGUUUGCCUGGAAAUAAGAGAUAAUUCACAGGAUAAUUAUAGAAAGUGAAUUCACUGAUAAUUCACAGUCAAGUAUUCCAACUGCCCAGGAAAACGUACUCAGAAAACUUCCUGCUUUCACCUCAAAGGCAAGUUAAUCAGCAUCAGCUAACCCUGAUUAGGCAGACAAGCUAAGAAGGGAGCUGGUUUCCUUUCAGAGCAGACCCAAAUGAGUACCCCUUGCUGAAGGAUGGAUCUCUAGAGUUUCCCUUCCUAAAAUCUGCUCUGGUGAUGCAAAUUUUUAGCAUUCUAUUGGCCGAGGAGAAGAAAGUUUUAUUUAAUCCACUGGGUUUUGUCCAGCUACAAGCCUAUGUGUUUCUCACGUGAAAAGCUAGAUAGUGUCCAUGCUGUAGAACUGGAAUCAUCUUGCAUAAAUGGUAAAUCACCAGGCCAUAAAACCUGUAAGGUUAUUGUCAGUGCACAUGUGUAACAUCCAUUAGUAUUAAUGAGAACUGGACAUUCUCUGAGAUGGAAUAUAGGUCUCAUUUUCAUUAAACUAAUUCAUGUAUUGCAAGCUGUGAUGAUUAUAAAGGGCUACCAAAGAGUGUUACAGAGAAAUUUUGAGAGGUGUUUGAGAAGGAGCUUUAGGCGGUGCUUUCAAAGAAUCUAGAAGUGAAAGAUAUUUGUUACACCUUACCUGAUUCAAGUGUGAUAUUUGGAGUGGGUAUUUGUCAUUGUUUCUGCUAGCAGGGAGUUAAUUUUCUUCCUAGGAGCAGGUAAAGUAGCUGUGUUCUGGAUUUAGGAUGAGAAUAACGUUGAUAACACACUGAUGUUUUCAUUACUGCUGAGCAGGGCUUACACAGAGUCAAGGCAUCUUCCUGCUUCUCACCCAACCCCACCAGCGAGCAGGCUGGGGAUGCACAAGAAGAAGUUGGGAGGGGCCACAGCUGGGACAGCUGACCCCAGCUGACCAUAGGGAUAUUCCAUCCUGUAUGAUGUCACGCUCAGUAUAUAAACCAGGGGAAAAGCCGGCCAGGGGUCUGUUGUUCAGGAACUGGCUGGGCAUCAGUCAGCAGAACCAACACCAGCAUUUCAAAACCCAGAUAUAAUGCCUCUUCAACAGCUGCUGAUUAUUGACUGUUUUGCUACUGCUCCUUCGUGAUGGAAGUGGAACUGACGCUGAUGGGACCAUCCCCAAAGCUCAUCCGCCCUUUGGGCUGUGGAGUACAUUGAGGCCAAGGACUGAGGAAUUAUGUGAGGCUGCUUCACUGCUUAUGAACUCAGACUUCCACAUCUGUGUCUCAACAGUAAACAAUUGCCAGGGCUCACACCUGCAGUUCAAGUACAAGAUCUCUGCACUUCUGGGACCCCUACAACUCACCAUGAAGUUAAUGUGCAGGUAAAACCAGCUCCUGGGAUGUCAAUUUUCUCUUCGUCCAGUGAGGAGGCUGGACCCUGGCACUCCCAAUCCCCGCGCACUCUGCACAGUGAAGGUUUGCACAAGUCUGGAAACCUCAGCUCUAGGCAGCAUGCCAGAGUUUGUCCAAACAUAUUUGCCUAAGUUGAUAUUUCUGUAGUGCAUUUCAAAACUUUACAAUUCAUUACUUUCUGGCGUUUGGUAUUCAUACUUUUUUCUCUUUAGGCUUUCCAGACAGAAAUGUAAAUUGUAAGUGCCACCAUAGAAACUCAAUGCAAUAAUAUCAAUCUUCAAAUAACAAUUUAAAUGAAGGAUGUUUGAAGUAUUUUUAUUUUGUAAUAAAUUUAUAGGUGUCAA